RNAcentral lists this ribosomal RNA (414 nucleotides) under uncultured Bacteroides sp. RNAcentral describes it as "bacterial SSU rRNA". It matches the Rfam family "Bacterial small subunit ribosomal RNA", at positions 352 to 761 of the family's 1533-position model. Lineage: Bacteria; Pseudomonadati; Bacteroidota; Bacteroidia; Bacteroidales; Bacteroidaceae. The record is from RNAcentral.
UGAGGGAAUAUUUGGGUCAAUGGGCGCGAGCCUGAACCAGCCAAGUCGCGUGAGGGAUGACGGUUCUAUGGAUCGUAAACCUCUUUUAUAAGGGAAUAAAGUUCGGGACGUGUCCCGUUUUGUAUGUACCUUAUGAAUAAGGAUCGGCUAACUCCGUGCCAGCAGCCGCGGUAAUACGGAGGAUCCGAGCGUUAUCCGGAUUUAUUGGGUUUAAAGGGAGCGUAGGCGGCAGGUUAAGUCAGUUGUGAAAGUUUGCGGCUCAACCGUAAAAUUGCAGUUGAUACUGGCCUGCUUGAGUGCGGCAGAGGCAGGCGGAAUUUGUGGUGUAGAACGGUGAAAUGCUUGGAUAUCACGAAGAACUCCGAUUGCGAAGGCAGCUUGCUGGAGCGUAACUGACGCUGAUGCUCGAAAGUG